RNAcentral lists this non-coding RNA (29 nucleotides) under Mus musculus (house mouse). The record is from RNAcentral. Lineage: Eukaryota; Metazoa; Chordata; Mammalia; Rodentia; Muridae.
UGAAAGAAAUGGUACACUCUAAAAUAACC